This 397-nucleotide ribosomal RNA is filed under the name uncultured bacterium. RNAcentral describes it as "bacterial SSU rRNA". It matches the Rfam family "Bacterial small subunit ribosomal RNA", at positions 28 to 429 of the family's 1533-position model. The record is from RNAcentral.
GACGAACGCUGGCGGCGUGCUUAACACAUGCAAGUCGAGCGGUAAGGCCCUUUCGGGGGUACACGAGCGGCGAACGGGUGAGUAACACGUGGGUGACCUGCCCUCAGCUCUGGGAUAAGCCUGGGAAACUGGUCUAAUACUGGAUAUGACUCCACGGUGCAUGUCGUGGGGUGGAAAGCCUUGUGCGGCUGAGGAUGGGCCCGCGGCCUAUCAGCUUGUUGGUGGGGUGANGGCCUACCAAGGCGACGACGGGUAGCCGGCCUGAGAGGGCGACCGGCCACACUGGGACUGAGACACGGCCCAGACUCCUACGGGAGGCAGCAGUGGGGAAUCUUGCGCAAUGGGCGAAAGCCUGACGCAGCGACGCCGCGUGAGGGAUGACGGCCUCGGUUGUAAC